AAUGAGAAUCAGAUACUUGGCUUAAUAGUUUUCAUUUAAAAUGUCUAAUUUGGAUAUAAUUCGGAAUAAAAAACGAAACUUAAAAGGUAUUGAAAACAACAACGUUCUAAAGAACAAUGUGGAUUUCAAUAGAAAGACUAUUUCCACCGACAAUCAGGAUUUCCGGUAUGACCACUGUUAUUUUGACGAUUUUUCUAUCGGUUCGUCGGUAAGCGUGACCACAUGUGACAACAGCGAUGCUAGUUGGAUAUAAAAUUGGUAGACGUGUCGUUGAACUCGACACAUUGACCGAAUCGCUUUUAGCAUGCAGUGCUUGUCAAGUGCCCAUGAAUUUACUUAACACUGUAGAAAGCAGGGAUUUCGGACAGGCAUGUGUUUUGGACAUACAGUUUAGCAAUUGUGGUGCAGUAAAUAAUGUGGCUACUGGACGGAAACAUGGCAGAGUUUAUGACAUGAUCACAAAGCUUGCAUUUGGGUAAAUCAAAAACUGGGUGUUUCACCUUGGACUUUCACAUCGAAACUGGCCCUUCUCCAUGACCUUCAGCACAAAAAAAGAAAGGCUAUAACUGUUACUUGUGCAGCAAAACAGUGACGCAUAAGACUUAAAACUCGAACGGCAUUCAAAGGACAGUGCAAGAAGUACGAGCGGGACCAACAUACAGUUCAAACAUAGAGGACCAAGACGUUGAAGUUACAACUAUACCCCCACCUAUACCCAAGCCUGGUCCAGCAGGGCUAGACACUACUGGGAAGGAAUUUGUUUUCUUUGAUUUGGAAACAAGAGGGUUAGAGCACACUUCUCACAUAAUUCAGAUAGCUGCAGUGCAUUCAACUGGUCAGAAGAUUUCCUUGCAAGC
Molecule: long non-coding RNA, 857 nt
Organism: Dreissena polymorpha
Lineage: Eukaryota; Metazoa; Mollusca; Bivalvia; Myida; Dreissenidae
Exons: 4
Source: RefSeq, a predicted model, not a curated record